RNAcentral lists this long non-coding RNA (937 nucleotides) under Vigna radiata. RNAcentral describes it as "long non-coding RNA (VRAD_LNC002143)". Lineage: Eukaryota; Viridiplantae; Streptophyta; Magnoliopsida; Fabales; Fabaceae. The record is from RNAcentral.
AUUAGAGGACUCAUCAAUAAAUUCAAGACUCUCCACAUGGGCAAUCUAAAAUUUAAUUAUAUUGUAACUUAGUAGUAUAGAAUACUUUUAAUCAAGCUUGUGCACAUUGGGCCAAAUUUUGACAAAAACAUGUUGAGCCCAAAUAGAAAAAAUGACAUGGCACCUAGGGUUUUUCAAUUAGGUGGACCCCACCCUAAUUUUAGGACACAUGGUCCUAGGGAUCUUAACCAAGCAGCCGUCACAUUACAUUCCUAUCAUUUCUUCUCUCGACAAUUUUUUGAGAAAGCUACUGCCGCCACUCAAUUUUAUUUUUCUUGGAGACUUUGGCUUUUGGAGGGCUGGAAUAUUUGGGGAGAUUGGAAUGAUAUUCAUGGUGAAGGGCGUUGGAUGAAUCAAGGAAGCACAUGCUUCCAGCCGCCACUUACUCUACAGAAGCACUUUUCAUUUGGCACCAACUUUCUCUCGGCAUUUUGGUGAUUAAAGGAGCAGCCACACACAUUUUGAUAUUUUUAUUUGUGCUGGAGCGUUACUUAGGAGAGAUUUUUUGGAACAUGGUUUCAACGUUGAAGGUGGAUGCACUGAAUUUAAUUGGUUGCACGCUGUUACGUUCCUUUAUAUUAAAAUUGUAGAAGCAUUCAUUUCCCUUCAAUUCAAGGUGCACACCGCUGCGUUAAUCUUUCUUAUGGAGAAAGUGAUGGUAAUUGAUUUCUUUUGGAGGAAGUUGCACGGUUUUAUAUAAGGAGGAAAAGAAGGCCUCUUAGGUUUUGCUUUCAUUAGUCACGGUGAACCAAAAACACUUUUUAUAUUCUACAUGUGAAUUAAAUGCAUUUUUUUCUUUUUUUUUUAUUUUACAAUGUGAAUUUUAAUUAACGUAUGCCUUUAUCAAUUUAGCAUUUCUUUCGUUUUGUACAUUUCCGUGGUGAAUGGAAGUUAUUAA